Tachysurus fulvidraco (yellow catfish) is the source of this 204-nucleotide long non-coding RNA. RefSeq lists it as uncharacterized. The transcript has 2 exons. NCBI's taxonomy places the organism in Eukaryota, Metazoa, Chordata, Actinopteri, Siluriformes, Bagridae. The record is from RefSeq and is a predicted model, not a curated record.
CUAGAACAAAUCAGUACGGAGCUCUUAUACUCUACAUGUUCUGUAUGGUCCUAGAAACACAUCAGUAUCAGUGUCUCCAUCUGAUUCAGUACUUUUGGGCAGUUCAGUGUCUCUGAGUUGUAGCAGUGAUGCAAACCCAGCAGUGCUGAACUACACCUGGUACAGAGAGAACGGAGAGCAGAUAGGAACCGGAGACCAUCUCAC